RNAcentral lists this ribosomal RNA (187 nucleotides) under Oxytelus sp. 2 BT-2011. RNAcentral describes it as "partial 28S ribosomal RNA". It matches the Rfam family "Eukaryotic large subunit ribosomal RNA", at positions 663 to 817 of the family's 3401-position model. Lineage: Eukaryota; Metazoa; Arthropoda; Insecta; Coleoptera; Staphylinidae. The record is from RNAcentral.
GGACCAAGGAGUCUAGCAUGUGCGCGAGUCAUUGGGACUUAAUAAACCUAAAGGCGAAAUGAAAGUAAAGGCGCGCCUUGCGCGUGCUUAGGGAGGAUGGGUCGUGCUACGGUGCGGCCCCGCACUCCCGAGGCGUCUCGUGCUCAUUGCGAGUUGAGGCGCACUCAGAGCGUACACGCUGGGACCC